This 1936-nucleotide ribosomal RNA is filed under the name Bacteroidales bacterium. RNAcentral describes it as "partial 23S ribosomal RNA". It matches the Rfam family "Bacterial large subunit ribosomal RNA", at positions 1 to 1983 of the family's 2925-position model. Lineage: Bacteria; Pseudomonadati; Bacteroidota; Bacteroidia; Bacteroidales. The record is from RNAcentral.
AGAGAAGGAUACAAGAGCGAACGGUGGAUGCCUAGGCUUCUGGAGGCGAUGAAGGACGCGGUAAGCUGCGAAAAUCUCCGGGUAACAGCAAACAUGUAUUGAUCCGGAGGUGUCCGAAUGGGGCAACCCGGCAGGCUGAAGGCCUGUCACCGCAGGUGAUGCGGGGCGAACGCGGGGAACUGAAACAUCUCAGUACCCGCAGGAAGAGAAAGAAAUUAUCGAUUCCCUGAGUAGUGGCGAUCGAAAGGGGAAGAGCCCAAACCCGCGGCGUUUCGGCGCGGCGGGGGUUGUAGGGCCGCCAGCAAGAGUUCAUGACGUGAACCGGAACCGUCUGGAAAGUCGGUCCGCAGAGGGUGACAGACCCGUACGGGCAAGCGUCAUGCACCGGAGGCGGUGCCUGAGUAGGGCGGGACACGUGCAAUCCUGUCUGAAUCCGCGGGGACCAUCCCGCAAGGCUAAAUACUCCCGGAAGACCGAUAGUGAACCAGUACCGUGAGGGAAAGGUGGGAAGCACCCCGAGCAGGGGAGUGAAAUAGACCCUGAAACCGUUCGUUUACAAGCGGUCGGAGCUCUUUUAUGGAGCGACGGCGUGCCUUUUGCAUAAUGAGCCUACGAGUUGCGUCCGUCCGGCAAGGUUAAGCACUUCAGGUGCGUGAGCCGGAGCGAGAGCGAGUCUGAACAGGGCGUUCAGUCGGGCGGAGCAGACGCGAAACCUAGUGAUCUACCCAUGGCCAGGGUGAAGUCCGCGUAACAGCGGAUGGAGGCCCGAACCGGUUUACGUUGAAAAGUGCUCGGAUGAGCUGUGGGUAGGGGUGAAAGGCUAAUCAAACUGGGAGAUAGCUCGUACUCCCCGAAAUGUCUUUAGGGACAGCCUCGUCUUAGCUUCACGGAGGUAGAGCUACUGAUAGGAUGCGAGGGCUUCAUCGCCUAUCAAUUCCUGACAAACUCCGAAUGCCGUGAAGUGUUGGACGGGAGUGAGUCGCCGGGUGCUAAUGUCCGGCGGCGAGAGGGAAAGAGCCCAGACCUCCGGCCAAGGCCCCCAAGAGCGGUUUAAGUUGAAUGAACGAGGUGACAUCGCAGAGACAGCUAGGAUGUUAGCUUGGAAGCAGCUAUUCAUUUAAAGAGUGCGUAACAGCUCACUAGUCGAGCGAUGACGCGUGGAUGAUGAACGGGCAUCAAGACCGCCGCCGAAGCCGAGGACUCUGAUAUUUCAGAGUGGUAGGGGAGCAUUCCGGUCGGCGCCGAAGGUGUGGCGUGAGCCAUGCUGGAGCGUCCGGAAAAGAAAAUGUAGGCAUGAGUAACGACAACGCAUGUAUGACCAUGCGCACCGUAAGCCCAAGGUUUCCUGGACAACGCCAGCCGUACCAGGGUAAGCCGGGGACUAAGGAUAACCCGACAGGGGAUUCCGAUGACGAUGCGGUUAAUAUUCCGCAGCCUGCUGUGCAGGCGAAGGCGUGACCGAGGAGUGGCACUGCCGCCCCCUGACGGAAUAGGGGGUCUAAGGACGUAGGGCGACUGAAAUCCGAAAGUACUGUGAUCCUUCGGGAGAUCAGACAGCGCAGGUAAUCAUACUCGCAAGAAAAGCGCCGUAGCGUUAAGCGCACAGCAGCCCGUACCGUAAACCGACACAGGUGGGCGAGGAGAGUAUCCUAAGGUGCUCGAGUGAAUCACGGCUAAGGAACUAGGCAAAUUGACCCCGUAACUUCGGGAUAAGGGGACCCCGCGAGGGGCGCAGAGAAAUGGCCCAGGCGACUGUUUACCAAAAACACAUGGCUAUGCGAAAUCGCAAGAUGACGAAUAUGGCCUGACACCUGCCCGGUGCCGGAAGGUUAAGAGGGGGAGUCAUCGCAAGAGAAGCUCUGAAUUGAAGCCCCGGUAAACGGCGGCCGUAACUAUAACGGUCCUAAGGUAGCGAAAUUCCUUGUCGGGUAAGUUC